Molecule: ribosomal RNA, 376 nt
Filed under: uncultured bacterium
Lineage: Bacteria
Description: bacterial SSU rRNA
Rfam family: Bacterial small subunit ribosomal RNA
Source: RNAcentral
UACGUAGGUGGCAAGCGUUGUCCGGAAUUAUUGGGCGUAAAGCGCGCGCAGGCGGUCCUUUAAGUCUGAUGUGAAAGCCCACGGCUCAACCGUGGAGGGUCAUUGGAAACUGGGGGACUUGAGUACAGAAGAGGAAAGUGGAAUUCCACGUGUAGCGGUGAAAUGCGUAGAGAUGUGGAGGAACACCAGUGGCGAAGGCGACUUUCUGGUCUGUAACUGACGCUGAGGCGCGAAAGCGUGGGGAGCAAACAGGAUUAGAUACCCUGGUAGUCCACGCCGUAAACGAUGAGUGCUAAGUGUUAGAGGGUUUCCGCCCUUUAGUGCUGCAGCUAACGCAUUAAGCACUCCGCCUGGGGAGUACGGUCGCAAGACUGAA